GUCAGGAUGGUUGACUGGUCUAAGGCGCUAGGCUCAAGUUUUAGUAGGGCGUGGGUUCAAGUCCCACUUCUGACA
RNAcentral lists this transfer RNA (75 nucleotides) under Ipomoea nil (Japanese morning glory). It matches the Rfam family "tRNA". From Rfam's summary of the family: Transfer RNA (tRNA) molecules are approximately 80 nucleotides in length. The record is from Rfam by way of RNAcentral. Lineage: Eukaryota; Viridiplantae; Streptophyta; Magnoliopsida; Solanales; Convolvulaceae.